UACGUAGGGUCCGAGCGUUGUCCGGAAUUAUUGGGCGUAAAGGGCUCGUAGGCGGUUUGUCACGUCGGGAGUGAAAACUCAGGGCUCAACCCUGAGCGUGCUUCCGAUACGGGCAGACUAGAGGUAUGCAGGGGAGAACGGAAUUCCUGGUGUAGCGGUGGAAUGCGCAGAUAUCAGGAGGAACACCGGUGGCGAAGGCGGUUCUCUGGGCAUUACCUGACGCUGAGGCGCGAAAGCCAGGGGAGCGAACGGG
This 253-nucleotide ribosomal RNA is filed under the name uncultured bacterium. RNAcentral describes it as "partial 16S ribosomal RNA". It matches the Rfam family "Bacterial small subunit ribosomal RNA", at positions 524 to 776 of the family's 1533-position model. The record is from RNAcentral.